This 59-nucleotide ribosomal RNA is filed under the name Trifolium environmental sample. Its description in RNAcentral is "partial 28S ribosomal RNA". It matches the Rfam family "Eukaryotic large subunit ribosomal RNA", at positions 1 to 58 of the family's 3401-position model. The record is from RNAcentral. Lineage: Eukaryota; Viridiplantae; Streptophyta; Magnoliopsida; Fabales; Fabaceae.
GAGACCUCAGGUCAGGCGGGGCUACCCGCUGAAUUUAAGCAUAUCAAUAAGCGGAGGAA